RNAcentral lists this ribosomal RNA (1150 nucleotides) under Nosema sp. CmM1. RNAcentral's name for it is "SSU rRNA". It matches the Rfam family "Microsporidia small subunit ribosomal RNA". Lineage: Eukaryota; Fungi; Microsporidia; Nosematidae. The record is from RNAcentral.
ACCCAUGCAUGUUUAUUGAAUAUAAAGAAAAGACGAACAGCUCAGUAACUCUUAUUUGAUUUGAUGUAUUAGGAUUCUAACUAUGUUAAAUUAUAGGUAACAAUAAUACAAUAAGAAUAAGAUCUAUCAGUUAGUUGUUAAGGUAAUGGCUUAACAAGACUAUGACGGAUAACGGUAUUACUUUGUAAUAUUCCGGAGAAGGAGCCUGAGAGAUUGCUACUAAGUCUAAGGAUUGCAGCAGGGGCGAAACUUGACCUAUGAUAUUAUAUUGAGGCAGUUAUGAGUAGUAUUUUAUAAUUAUUGUAGUAUUGUAAGUACAUAUUACAAGAUAAAUCGGAGGGCAAAUCGAGUGCCAGCAGCCGCGGUAAUACUUGUUCCGAUAGUGUGUAUGAUGAUUGAUGCAGUUAAAAAGUCUGUAGUUUAUUUAUAAUAAGCAUUGUAAGGUAUACUGUAUGGUUAGGAGAGAGAUGAAAUGUGAUAACCCUAACUGGAUGAACAGAAGCGAAAGCUGUAUACUUAAAUGUAUUAUUAGAACAAGGACGUAAGCUAGAGGAUCGAAGAUGAUUAGAUACCAUUGUAGUUCUAGCAGUAAACUAUGUUGAAUCAUAGAUAUAUUUUGAUAUAUAUUUAUGUAGAGAAAUUAAGAUUAUAUUGACUCUGGGGAUAGUAUGAUCGCAAGAUUGAAAAUUAAAGAAAUUGACGGAAGAAUACCACAAGGAGUGGAUUGUGCGGCUUAAUUUGACUCAACGCGGGGUAAUUUACCAGGUAUAACAUGGUAUAAUAUUUUAUCAUGAUAGUGGUGCAUGGCCGUUUCCAAUGGAUGCUGUGAAGUAAUGAUUAAUUUCAACAAGAUGUGAGACCCUCAUUUAGACAGAUGUAGUGAUACAUAUGAAGGAGAGGAUUAAAACAGGUCCGUUAUGCCCUAAGAUAAUCUGGGUUGCACGCGCAAUACAAUAAUAUUUGAUAUUAUAAGGGAUAAUAUAAUGUAAGAUAUAUUUGAACAUGGAAUUGCUAGUAAAUUUUAUUUAAUAAGUAGAAUUGAAUGAGUCCCUGUUCUUUGUACACACCGCCCGUCGCUAUCUAAGAUGGUAUUAUCUAUGAACAAAUUUAUAAAGUGAAUAGAUAGUACUAGAUCUGAUAUAAGUCGUAA